UGGCCGCUCACCGACAGCCAUGGCUUCACUAGGACAAGUCGUAGGGACAUCGGGCAACCCAACCAGGGGUCCAGCAUCAAGGGAUGACAACAUCGAUGGCUAGAAAAAGAAGAAAACAAGGCCAAAAAGUAGGAGCUGAAUAGGGAUUUUUAUUUUCAAUGGAUUUUCGAUGAAAUCGAUAGCCAUCGAUCACGCUUAAAAUCAUGAGGAGGAAGGAAAGAGAGAGAGAAGGUGAGAUCGAGGCCUUACCUCAGCUCCAAUGGCAACUAUAGCUUCAAUUUCUGGUGACCAAAGUGAAACUUAAAUCGGCAAAAAGUAGGAGAAAGAAGAGAGAAGAAGGUUGGAUGCUUGCGACGGAGGAAG
Molecule: long non-coding RNA, 363 nt
Filed under: Elaeis guineensis (African oil palm)
Lineage: Eukaryota; Viridiplantae; Streptophyta; Magnoliopsida; Arecales; Arecaceae
Description: long non-coding RNA (EGUI_LNC068485)
Source: RNAcentral